CAGUGAUGAUAGUUGCUCUUCUGCACUUUUACUGCAGCAGCAGCAGCAGCAAGGAGGCAAACACAUCCAUUAAGACAUACCUGUGUCUUGUGGCCUGACAGGAAGUCUGCUCUGACUAGCUGGAAGAAUCUCUAGUUUGACAAUGUCUGAGGUGCUGGCCAGUAGCUGCGUGGCCUCCAUCAGGGAGCAGUGUUCUGUGCUCGUCCCGUCUAUGGACAGGAGGAUGUCACCUGCAUGCAGCGCUCCACACCUGGGAGAAUGAGACAUAGUCAGGCUGGCAGGACCCCCUGGUCUGACGUGGGUAACCACCAGAGGACGAGACCUGCGCCAGUCUUCAUGGAAGCCUCCUAAAAACACCAGAACGCAGAGAUAAAUCAGUGUCAAAAGCUGAGGUUAACUAUUCCUGCCGAAUGGUUCAUAAAAAAACAUCACCCAUCCACCUACCUCUCAUGACAAACCCAAAGCUGUUCCCCUCCUUGUGUAAACACACCUCUAUGGUUUUGGUUAUGACUCCUGAGGGGGUCUGGACUAAGAGUAGAGAGAAAAUGACAAAUUAUUACCGUAAUCUUGUAAAGCUACACAUAAAAUGAAGUGUUAGAAACGUGUUUAAUUAAUCCUAGUGGAGAAAUAAAUUCUCAGUGUUUGAUCCGUGUCAACAAUUUACGAGCAGUGGAGAGCCGCAGGGGGCCAACGCUGUUUCUGAGGCCAGUGCCUUGAUUAGAGAAACACGAUAAGUAUUGAUUUGGUGAUUUGCAGGUCAAAAGAUUUCUAGAUGUCGAGGUUAAAAUGGGACUAAAUAUGGCUGACAAUUUUGAAGAUGUCUAGGUUAUAUCUGUGGUUUUAACACAACUGGAAUGACUAUUUUUCAACGUGAAGCAGGUGUGCUUCAAAAAUACAUACAUGAAAAUGAAAUGACUGUCUUUUGUAACCUAGAUGUCUAAAAAGAAACUUUUCAACCGAAUUUGAACAUUAAGAAACAUAUAGAUACACUGUUGUUUGA
Xiphias gladius (swordfish) is the source of this 1000-nucleotide long non-coding RNA. RefSeq lists it as uncharacterized. The record is from RefSeq and is a predicted model, not a curated record. Lineage: Eukaryota; Metazoa; Chordata; Actinopteri; Istiophoriformes; Xiphiidae. The transcript is spliced from 3 exons.